This is a long non-coding RNA of Oncorhynchus tshawytscha (Chinook salmon), 632 nucleotides long. The record is from Ensembl. NCBI's taxonomy places the organism in Eukaryota, Metazoa, Chordata, Actinopteri, Salmoniformes, Salmonidae.
CUCCUCCAAAUCUGAAGGUGGACAAGGUAGACUGAAUCCUCUCUCUCUAUUUGGGGCCCCGACAUGAAAGCGAUACUACAUUACCAAUGUGACAGGUAUGAAAAUUACUCCAUGUCACGUGACGCCGCCUUUUCUUCCUGGAGCCUGUGAGGGAAAGGAAGGGAGGCUCAUCACCUUACAGUCGAGUCCUGAGAUACCGUCUCUGAUCUGCUAGCAGGGUUGGAGCGGGGGUCAGAGGGCAGAAGCAACAAGAGAAACAAGGUGACUUCAUCUUUUUUGGGGGGGUCAAUAGUGAAGCAGGAAAGUCAAUAGUGUUUUUCCCUGGCAGGUCACCCGUGCUACAAGUCAGUUUUCGACAUCCACCCAUGACUGAGGACUUGGAAACCAUCCACUAGGCGCAACAGUCAGCACUGGAACCUUGAAGUAGGUUUUGGUUUUGCUCGGGCGUUGUGGACAGGGAUGGUGGAUGGGUGCAAACCCAGGGAAAAUUAAACAAGCACUUUCUGGUCAUUAAUCUGGAUAUGUGCGCCCGCCUUUGACGGCCAACGAUGAUGAGUGGCCAACGAUGAUGAGUGGCCAACGAUGAUGAGUGGCCAACGAUGAUGAGUGGCCAACGAUGAUGAGUGGCCAAC